This 406-nucleotide ribosomal RNA is filed under the name uncultured bacterium. Its description in RNAcentral is "partial 16S ribosomal RNA". It matches the Rfam family "Bacterial small subunit ribosomal RNA", at positions 30 to 526 of the family's 1533-position model. The record is from RNAcentral.
AUUGAACGCUGGCGGCAGGCCUAACACAUGCAAGUCGAACGAGUGGCGGACGGGUGAGUAAUGUCUGGGAAACUGCCCGAUGGAGGGGGAUAACUACUGGAAACGGUAGCUACUACCGCAUACCAUCAGAUGUGCCCAGAUGGGAUUAGCUAGUUGGUGGGGUAACGGCUCACCAAGGCGACGAUCCCCAGCUGGUCUGAGAGGAUGACCGGCAACACUGGAACGAGGACAGGGUCCAAACUCCUACGGGAGGCAGCAGUGGGGAAUUUUGCACAAUGGGCGCAAUCCUGAUGCAGCCAUGCCGCGUGUAGGAGGAGGGCCUUCGGGUUGUAAGGUACUUUCAGCGGGGAGGCGUUACCCGCAGAAGAAGCACCGGCUAACUCCGUGCCAGCAGCCGCGGUAAUAC